GCUGGGCGUGGUGGCGCGUGCCUGUAGUCCCAACUACUCGGGAGGCUGAGGUGGGAGGAUCGCUUGAGCCCAGGAGUUCUGGGCUGUAGUGCGCUAUGCCAAUCGGGUGUCCGCACUAAGUUUGGCAUCAAUAUGGUGAACUCCCGGGAGCAGGGGACCACCAGGUUGCCUAAGGAGGGGUGAACCAGCCCAGGUCGGAAACGGACCAGGUCAAAACUCCCGUGCUGAUCAGUAGUGGGAUUGUGCCUGUGAAUAGCCACUGUACUCCAGCCUGGGCAACAUAGCAAGACCCUAUCUCU
Molecule: signal recognition particle RNA, 299 nt
Filed under: Aotus nancymaae (Ma's night monkey)
Lineage: Eukaryota; Metazoa; Chordata; Mammalia; Primates; Aotidae
Description: Metazoan signal recognition particle RNA (ENSANAG00000011961.1)
Rfam family: Metazoan signal recognition particle RNA
About the family: The signal recognition particle (SRP) is a universally conserved ribonucleoprotein. It is involved in the co-translational targeting of proteins to membranes.
Source: RNAcentral